UACGAAGGGUGCAAGCGUUACUCGGAAUUACUGGGCGUAAAGCGUGUGCAGGUGGUUUGUUAAGUCUGCUGUGAAAGCCCCGGGCUCAACCUGGGAAUUGCAUUUGAGACUGCGUAGCUAGGGUGCGGAAGAGGGAAGCGGAAUUUCCGGUGUAGCGGUGAAAUGCGUAGAUAUCGGAAGGAACACCAGUGGCGAAAGCGGCUUCCUGGUCCAGCACCGACGUUCAGGCACGAAAGCGUGGGGAGCAAACAGG
This 253-nucleotide ribosomal RNA is filed under the name uncultured bacterium. RNAcentral describes it as "partial 16S ribosomal RNA". It matches the Rfam family "Bacterial small subunit ribosomal RNA", at positions 524 to 776 of the family's 1533-position model. The record is from RNAcentral.